AUACAUGUAGGAUACUGGUGGAAG
Molecule: non-coding RNA, 24 nt
Filed under: Cricetulus griseus (Chinese hamster)
Lineage: Eukaryota; Metazoa; Chordata; Mammalia; Rodentia; Cricetidae
Source: RNAcentral